RNAcentral lists this ribosomal RNA (496 nucleotides) under Klebsiella pneumoniae. Its description in RNAcentral is "partial 23S ribosomal RNA". It matches the Rfam family "Bacterial large subunit ribosomal RNA", at positions 1 to 536 of the family's 2925-position model. Lineage: Bacteria; Pseudomonadati; Pseudomonadota; Gammaproteobacteria; Enterobacterales; Enterobacteriaceae. The record is from RNAcentral.
GGUUAAGCGACUAAGCGUACACGGUGGAUGCCCUGGCAGUCAGAGGCGAUGAAGGACGUGCUAAUCUGCGAAAAGCGUCGGUAAGGUGAUAUGAACCGUUACAGCCGGCGAUGUCCGAAUGGGGAAACCCAGUGUGAUUCGUCACACUAUCGUUAACUGAAUACAUAGGUUAACGAGGCGAACCGGGGGAACUGAAACAUCUAAGUACCCCGAGGAAAAGAAAUCAACCGAGAUUCCCCCAGUAGCGGCGAGCGAACGGGGAGCAGCCCAGAGUCUGAAUCAGCUUGUGUGUUAGUGGAACGGUCUGGAAAGUCCGACGGUACAGGGUGAUAGUCCCGUACACCAAAAUGCACAGGUUGUGAACUCGAAGAGUAGGGCGGGACACGUGGUAUCCUGUCUGAAUAUGGGGGGACCAUCCUCCAAGGCUAAAUACUCCUGACUGACCGAUAGUGAACCAGUACCGUGAGGGAAAGGCGAAAAGAACCCCGGCGAGGGG